UACGUAGGGGGCAAGCGUUGUCCGGAAUCAUUGGGCGUAAAGCGCGCGUAGGCGGCCCGGUAAGUCCGCUGUAAAAGUCAAAGGCUUAACCUUUGAAUGUCAGUGGAUACUGCCGGGCUAGAGUCCGGAAGAGGCGAGUGGAACUCCUGGUGUAGCGGUGGAAUGCGCAGAUAUCAGGAAGAACACCGACGGCGAAGGCAGCUCGCUGGGAAUGAUCUGACACUGAGACGCGAAAGCCAGGGGAGCGAACGGG
RNAcentral lists this ribosomal RNA (253 nucleotides) under uncultured bacterium. RNAcentral describes it as "partial 16S ribosomal RNA". It matches the Rfam family "Bacterial small subunit ribosomal RNA", at positions 524 to 776 of the family's 1533-position model. The record is from RNAcentral.